RNAcentral lists this ribosomal RNA (460 nucleotides) under uncultured bacterium. RNAcentral's name for it is "partial 16S ribosomal RNA". It matches the Rfam family "Bacterial small subunit ribosomal RNA", at positions 338 to 795 of the family's 1533-position model. The record is from RNAcentral.
CCUACGGGAGGCAGCAGUGAGGAAUAUUGGUCAAUGGGCGCGAGCCUGAACCAGCCAAGUAGCGUGAAGGAUGACUGCCCUACGGGUUGUAAACUUCUUUUAUAAAGGAAUAAAGUGAGGCACGUGUGCCUUUUUGUAUGUACUUUAUGCAUAAGGAUCGGCUAACUCCGUGCCAGCAGCCGCGGUAAUGCGGAGGAUCCGAGCGUUGUCCGGAUUUAUUGGGUGUAAAGGGAGCGUAGAGGGGUUGUUAAGUUAGUUGUGAAAGUUUGCGGCUCAACCGGAAAAUUGCAAUGGAUACUGGCAGCCUUGAGUACAGUUGAGGUAGGCGGAAUUCGUGGUGUAGCGGUGAAAUGCUGAGAUAUCACGAAGAACUCCGAUUGCGAAGGCAGCUUACUAAACUGCCACUGACAUUGAUGCUCGAAAGUGUGGGUAUCAAACAGGAUUAGAUACCCUUGUAGUC